GAUGAAGAACGUAGCGAAAUGCGAUACGUAAUGUGAAUUGCAGAAUUCAGUGAAUCAUCGAGUGUUUGAACGCACAUUGCGCCCCCUGGUAUUCCGGGGGGCAUGCCUGUCCGAGCGUCAUUGCUGCCCUCAAGCACGGCUUGUGUGUUGGGCCUCCGUCCUCCUCCCGGGGGACGGGCCCGAAAGGCAGCGGCGGCACCGCGUCCGGUCCUCGAGCGUAUGGGGCUUCGUCACCCGCUCUUGUAGGCCCGGCCGGCGCUUGCCGACACAUCAAUCUUUUUUCCAGGUUGACCUCGGAUCAGGUAGGGAUACCCGCUGAACUUAAGCAUAUCAAUAAGCGGAGGA
This 345-nucleotide unclassified non-coding RNA is filed under the name soil metagenome. RNAcentral describes it as "partial contains 5.8S ribosomal RNA, internal transcribed spacer 2, and large subunit ribosomal RNA". The stretch from base 1 to 120 matches the Rfam family "5.8S ribosomal RNA", at positions 35 to 154 of the family's 154-position model. The record is from RNAcentral.